AGUCAUCGACCCCUACCGUUUAGUGCGGGACCGGGUUGGAUAUGGGGGAUUGCUGCCGAGAGGUGGCUCCCCUCAAAUGCAUCGGUUGGGCCUGUGGGUCAAACUCGACUGGGCGUUGUACCAUCCUCGCUCGACCGAGACGUUCCCAUUCUGCGCCCUCCCCCGACCUGCCUGUGGAGCGGCGGUCAAGCGAAACUUUGAA
RNAcentral lists this unclassified non-coding RNA (202 nucleotides) under uncultured Trechisporales. RNAcentral describes it as "sequence contains ITS2". The record is from RNAcentral. Lineage: Eukaryota; Fungi; Basidiomycota; Agaricomycetes; Trechisporales.